GAAUCCCUACGGGACGCAGCAGUGAGGAAUAUUGGUCAAUGGGCGGAAGCCUGAACCAGCCAAGUCGCGUGAGGGAAUAAGGCCCUACGGGUCGUAAACCUCUUUUGCCGGGGAGCAAGGGCCGGGACGCGUCCCGGCCCGGAGAGUACCCGGAGAAAAAGCAUCGGCUAACUCCGUGCCAGCAGCCGCGGUAAUACGGAGGAUGCGAGCGUUAUCCGGAUUUAUUGGGUUUAAAGGGUGCGUAGGCGGGCUUUUAAGUCAGCGGUAAAAAUUCGG
RNAcentral lists this ribosomal RNA (276 nucleotides) under uncultured bacterium. Its description in RNAcentral is "partial 16S ribosomal RNA". It matches the Rfam family "Bacterial small subunit ribosomal RNA", at positions 333 to 605 of the family's 1533-position model. The record is from RNAcentral.